GUGGCGGACGGGUGAGUAACACGUGGGAACGUGCCUUUAGGUUGCGGAAUAGCUCCUGGAAACGGGUGGUAAUGCCGAAUGUGCCCUUCGGGGGAAAGAUUUAUCGCCUUUAGAGCGGCCCGCGUCUGAUUAGCUUGUUGGUGAGGUAAUGGCUCACCAAGGCGACGAUCAGUAGCUGGUCUGAGAGGAUGACCAGCCACAUUGGGACUGAGACACGGCCCAAACUCCUACGGGAGGCAGCAGUGGGGAAUCUUGCGCAAUGGGCGAAAGCCUGACGCAGCCAUGCCGCGUGGAUGAUGAAGGUCUUAGGAUUGUAAAAUCCUUUCACCGGUGAAGAUAAUGACUGUAGCCGGAGAAGAAGCCCCGGCUAACUUCGUGCCAGCAGCCGCGGUAAUACGAAGGGGGCUAGCGUUGCUCGGAAUUACUGGGCGUAAAGGGAGCGUAGGCGGACAUUUAAGUCAGGGGUGAAAUCCCAGAGCUCAACUCUGGAACUGCCUUUGAUACUGGGUGUCUUGAGUGUGAGAGAGGUAUGUGGAACUCCGAGUGUAGAGGUGAAAUUCGUAGAUAUUCGGAAGAACACCAGUGGCGAAGGCGACAUACUGGCUCAUUACUGACGCUGAGGCUCGAAAGCGUGGGGAGCAAACAGGAUUAGAUACCCUGGUAGUCCACGCCGUAAACGAUGAUUGCUAGUUGUCGGGAAGCUUGCUUUUCGGUGACGCAGCUAACGCAUUAAGCAAUCCGCCUGG
Molecule: ribosomal RNA, 746 nt
Filed under: rhizosphere soil bacterium BEM-62
Lineage: Bacteria
Description: bacterial SSU rRNA
Rfam family: Bacterial small subunit ribosomal RNA
Source: RNAcentral